GCAAACUUGGUCAUUUAGAGGAAGUAAAAGUCGUAACAAGGUUUCCGUAGGUGAACCUGCGGAAGGAUCAUUAAUAUGUUUGAAUUUCCAAUUCAUCACACAUCCGCUGUGUAUCGGUAACUGUUGCUUCCGUGGCUCAUGCUGUUCUGCAACACAAGGCAGUACGCCGUUGCAACCAUGGUCACGGAAGGUUAUCUUCACUCUCAAUUGUGAAUUUUGUCAGAGUAGUUGCUAUUGAGUCGUAUUUUUCAAAACUUUCAACAAUGGAUCUCUUGGUUCUCGCAUCGAUGAAGAACGCAGC
Molecule: unclassified non-coding RNA, 301 nt
Filed under: uncultured fungus
Lineage: Eukaryota; Fungi
Description: partial contains small subunit ribosomal RNA, internal transcribed spacer 1, and 5.8S ribosomal RNA
Rfam family: Eukaryotic small subunit ribosomal RNA (bases 1-73)
Source: RNAcentral